This 691-nucleotide ribosomal RNA is filed under the name Rhithrogena environmental sample. Its description in RNAcentral is "LSU rRNA". It matches the Rfam family "Eukaryotic large subunit ribosomal RNA", at positions 646 to 1283 of the family's 3401-position model. The record is from RNAcentral. Lineage: Eukaryota; Metazoa; Arthropoda; Insecta; Ephemeroptera; Heptageniidae.
GACCCGUCUUGAAACACGGACCAAGGAGUCUAACAUGUGCGCGAGUCAUUGGGUCCCACUACACCCAAAGGCGUAUUGAACGAAAAGGCCGUCCUUCGCGUCGGCUGAGGGAAGAUGGAGGCUCGCUCGCGGGCCUCCCGCAUUCCCGGGGCGUCUCGUCCUACCGUCGCUCGUCGGCGGAAGGUGAGGCGCACCAUGAGCGCACACGUUGGUACCCGAAAGAUGGUGAACUAUGCCUGGCCAGGACGAAGCCAGGGGAAACCCUGGUGGAGGUCCGUAGCGAUUCUGACGUGCAAAUCGAUCGUCAGAGCUGGGUAUAGGGGCGAAAGACUAAUCGAACCAUCUAGUAGCUGGUUCCCUCCGAAGUUUCCCUCAGGAUAGCUGGCGUUCGGAGAUUCGAGUCCCAUGCGGUAAAGCGAAUGAUUAGAGGCCAUGGGGUCGAAACGACCUCAACCUAUCCUCAAACUCUAAAUGUGUGGGAACCGCGGCUUGCUUGAACGUGAAGCCGUGGGUAAUGUCGGAUCGGAGUGCCCAGUGGGCCACUUUUGGUAAGCAGAACUGGCGCUGUGGGAUGAACCAAACGCCGGGUUAAGGCGCCCGAAUAGACGCUCAUGUGAAACCAUGAAAGGUGUUGGUUGCUUAAGACAGCAGGACGGUGGCCAUGGAAAUCGGAAUCCGCUAAGGAGUGUGU